AACCGACACAUAGACAUAUACAGAAACACCUGCAUAUACUAACAUACUAACAUACUUACAGACACAAACACGCAUAAGGACAAUACAUACUGACAUACAUACAUACAGGGGCGUUUUGCCUUGGGCGACAUUUUCCAGGGGGCGGCAAAAAAGCCGCCCCCAAAUGCCCAGGGCAUAUGCCUUGUUAGCCUUGCGGCUAACUGAU
This is a non-coding RNA of Pelobates cultripes (western spadefoot toad), 205 nucleotides long. The record is from the annotation of a GenBank genome assembly. NCBI's taxonomy places the organism in Eukaryota, Metazoa, Chordata, Amphibia, Anura, Pelobatidae.